This 314-nucleotide small nuclear RNA is filed under the name Ochotona princeps (American pika). Its description in RNAcentral is "7SK RNA (ENSOPRG00000021581.1)". It matches the Rfam family "7SK RNA". From Rfam's summary of the family: 7SK was discovered as an abundant small nuclear RNA in the mid-70s but a possible function has only recently been suggested. Lineage: Eukaryota; Metazoa; Chordata; Mammalia; Lagomorpha; Ochotonidae. The record is from RNAcentral.
GGAUGUGAGGGCUAUCUGGCUGCAGCAUCUGUCACCCCAUUGAUAGGAUUGAUUCGGCUGAUCCAGCUGUUGAGGUGGCUGUCCCCUUCCUCCCUCACCACUCCCUGUGCGUCCUCCCAAAGCUGCACACUCAGUUAUAGAUGACAAUCUUCCCCGCUAGAGAAGGACCGGUCUUCGGCCAAGGGUAUACCAGUAGCUGCGUUCCCUGCUUAAACCUCCAAACAGGCUUUCAAGGUCCACAGGGGACGACAGCACAACAGGUGGUUACUUGAUUUGCUACAACCACAGCCCUGGCCACUCCCCUUCAAGUUUCU